AUUAGCCAGUUCUUCACCUUUCUUAGCCAAGUCUUCUUGGGUGAAGUGUCCUUUCCUCCCCCUUGACUUUGAACUUCAUCAUAUGACCAAGUGUCCUUUCCUCCCCCUUGACUUUGAACUUCAUCAUAUGACCUGCUUUAACCAAUGGAAACCUAGUAGAUGGGAUACCAAUAGAAGCUUAGAAAUGUGUUUUCACAGUAGGGCUUGCUGUCUCAUGCCUCUAGAAUCCCCCUGAGAAGAACAUGCCCCAGCAACCUAUUCCAAGGAAGGAGCUACAUGAGGCAGAACCGCCCCAGCCAGCCUGAUGAACAUCGGCAGACGCCAUGGCAUCGUGAACCGAGGGAAGGUCAACGGGAGAGAGGAUCUGAAUGCAGACCCUCAAAGAAAUAAUAUGUCAACAAGAUACCAACAUCGUCAUCACCAUCACUUCAACAAUUUUGCGUUGAAGAAGUGUGUUCCUGGGAGACCCUGAUUUGUAUAGAUGGCAGCCCCUCACAUGCGUGUGAGGCUGCACGGUCACUAGAGUGUCUCCAGGAGGAAGAGGGUGGUGAACAGAGACCAUGAAGACUGAUUCAGAAACUCUCCAAGAGGAGCAGGUGAUGUCUGAGCCAUCCCUGUGCCACCAGCAAGAAUCGCCUCAGCUCCUGGAAAAACCCUUAGGAGCUGCCUCCAAUUAAAGUCCUUAGUUGCAUCGUA
This is a long non-coding RNA of Bubalus bubalis (water buffalo), 696 nucleotides long. RefSeq lists it as uncharacterized. The record is from RefSeq and is a predicted model, not a curated record. Lineage: Eukaryota; Metazoa; Chordata; Mammalia; Artiodactyla; Bovidae. The transcript has 2 exons.